RNAcentral lists this ribosomal RNA (400 nucleotides) under uncultured bacterium. RNAcentral describes it as "bacterial SSU rRNA". It matches the Rfam family "Bacterial small subunit ribosomal RNA", at positions 355 to 747 of the family's 1533-position model. The record is from RNAcentral.
UGGGGAAUAUUGGACAAUGGGCGAAAGCCUGAUCCAGCAAUGCCGCGUGUGUGAAGAAGGCCUUCGGGUUGUAAAGCACUUUCAGUAGUGAAGAAGGAUGUAUAGUUAAUACCUAUAUAUUUUGACGUUAGCUACAGAAGAAGCACCGGCUAACUCUGUGCCAGCAGCCGCGGUAAUACAGAGGGUGCAAGCGUUAAUCGGAAUUACUGGGCGUAAAGGGUGUGUAGGUGGUUGGAUAAGUUAGAUGUGAAAUCCCCGGGCUUAACCUGGGAACUGCGUUUAAAACUGUUUAACUAGAGUGCUGUAGAGGAUAGUGGAAUUUCCAGUGUAGCGGUGAAAUGCGUAGAUAUUGGAAGGAACACCAGUGGCGAAGGCGACUAUCUGGACAGACACUGACACU